AAGGAAAAGAAAAAAGUCUUAAGUAAAGAUUAGCAGACAACUUUCCCCACUAGAAAUUCUCAUUGAAAUGAUUACAUUUUGGCCAAGCAUGAUUUCAAACCGGAAAGAAAAUUACACAGCAAUAAAAUAUAGCAGCAUGAAAACUUACAUUUGUCUUCGGGGUCCACACAUGAGACACACUUGUUAUUCUGUGACUCGCUGCAUCUCUCGCAGUAAUUAAACUGGUGGAGAGUCCCCGCUUCUUGAUCUUCCACCAGCAUAAUAUGAUAGUAAUUUGCUUUCUGUUUUGCUGACUUCAAAAACUGCAUGCAAGGGCUGAGCCAGCUCCCGCACUGCUAGGAUCCUGUUGGCUUCCUCUGGCACGGCUCGGCUGGGUCCUUCCUCCCUGUGCAGCUCGCCUCAGCAGGCACACAUUUAGAAAUCAUUCACGAGCCCCUCGAAGUCGCACAAAAGAACUGCAUGGAAAGUAGGCAGAGCUGUCUGCACCAAGGGACUCCUGGUUUCCACGGGAAUGGAGUAGCUCUCUGGCUGCCUCGUUCACUUCAUCAGACCUCCCUCUAUCUGUAUGUCAUAAGCUGCAAGGUAGCAACAGCCAGGAGGGCGGACCAAAUAGGCUUUUUUUUCUCCCUCUUUUUGCUACAUAUUAACAUUGGGAAGUUUUCCUUUGCUUUUGAGAGAGAGAAACUGGAGAAAUGGCCUUUUGUGCAGAUUCCUGUUAAGAAUAUCAAGGCAAGAUUGUGUCUGAAGUAG
RNAcentral lists this long non-coding RNA (750 nucleotides) under Callithrix jacchus (white-tufted-ear marmoset). RNAcentral's name for it is "lncRNA (ENSCJAG00000078414.1)". The record is from RNAcentral. Lineage: Eukaryota; Metazoa; Chordata; Mammalia; Primates; Cebidae.